AGUGGAAGCGUCUGGAAAGGCGCGCGAUACAGGGUGACAGCCCCGUACACAAAAGCGCAUGUGCUGUGAGCUCGAUGAGUAGGGCGGGACACGUGGUAUCCUGUCUGAAUAUGGGGGGACCAUCCUCCAAGGCUAAAUACUCCUGACUGACCGAUAGUGAACCAGUACCGUGAGGGAAAGGCGAAAAGAACCCCGGCGAGGGGAGUGAAAAAGAACCUGAAACCGUGUACGUACAAGCAGUGGGAGCACAGGUUUACCUGUGUGACUGCGUACCUUUUGUAUAAUGGGUCAGCGACUUAUAUUCUGUAGCAAGGUUAACCGYAUAGGGGAGCCGKAGGGAAACCGAGUCUUAACCGGGCGUUAAGUUGCAGGGUAUAGACCCGAAACCCGGUGAUCUAGCCAUGGGCAGGUUGAAGGUUGGGUAACACUAACUGGAGGACCGAACCGACUAAUGUUGAAAAAUUAGCGGAUGACCUGUGGCUGGGGGUGAAAGGCCAAUCAAACCGGGAGAUAGCUGGUUCUCCCCGAAAGCUAUUUAGGUAGCGCCUCGUGAAUUCAUCUCCGGGGGUAG
RNAcentral lists this ribosomal RNA (571 nucleotides) under Salmonella enterica. Its description in RNAcentral is "partial 23S ribosomal RNA". Lineage: Bacteria; Pseudomonadati; Pseudomonadota; Gammaproteobacteria; Enterobacterales; Enterobacteriaceae. The record is from RNAcentral.